UACGGAGGGUGCGAGCGUUAAUCGGAAUUACUGGGCGUAAAGGGUGCGUAGGUGGUUUGAUAAGUUAUCUGUGAAAUUCCUGGGCUUAACCUGGGACGGUCAGAUGAUACUGUUAGACUCGAGUAUGGGAGAGGGUAGUGGAAUUUCCGGUGUAGCGGUGAAAUGCGUAGAGAUCGGAAGGAACACCAGUGGCGAAGGCGGCUACCUGGCCUAAUACUGACACUGAGGCACGAAAGCGUGGGGAGCAAACAGG
RNAcentral lists this ribosomal RNA (253 nucleotides) under uncultured Legionella sp. Its description in RNAcentral is "partial 16S ribosomal RNA". It matches the Rfam family "Bacterial small subunit ribosomal RNA", at positions 524 to 776 of the family's 1533-position model. Lineage: Bacteria; Pseudomonadati; Pseudomonadota; Gammaproteobacteria; Legionellales; Legionellaceae. The record is from RNAcentral.